This 134-nucleotide ribosomal RNA is filed under the name uncultured eukaryote. RNAcentral describes it as "partial small subunit ribosomal RNA". It matches the Rfam family "Eukaryotic small subunit ribosomal RNA", at positions 1651 to 1784 of the family's 1831-position model. The record is from RNAcentral.
CCCUGCCAUUUGUACACACCGCCCGUCGCACCUACCGAUUGAAUGGUCCGGUGAAAUCUUCGGACUUUGUUUAAGUUUAUUUAUUUAGAUUUUUACGAGGAAAGUUGAGUAAACCUUACCAUUUAGAGGAAGGU